GACGAACGCUGGCGGCGUGCUUAACACAUGCAAGUCGAACGGAAAGGCCCUGCUUUUGUGGGGUGCUCGAGUGGCGAACGGGUGAGUAACACGUGAGUAACCUGCCCUUGACUUUGGGAUAACUUCAGGAAACUGGGGCUAAUACCGGAUAGGAGCUCCUGCUGCAUGGUGGGGGUUGGAAAGUUUCGGCGGUUGGGGAUGGACUCGCGGCUUAUCAGCUUGUUGGUGGGGUAGUGGCUUACCAAGGCUUUGACGGGUAGCCGGCCGGAGAGGGUGACCGGCCACAUUGGGACUGGGAUACGGCCCAGACCCCUCCGGGAGGCAGCAGUGGGGAAUAUUGCACAAUGGGCGGAAGCCUGAUGCAGCAACGCCGCGGGGGGGGUGAGGGCCUUGGGGUUGUAAACCGCUUUCGCCUGGGACGAAGCGGGGGUGGCGGUAAUGGGUAAAGAAGCAGCGGCUAACCACGU
RNAcentral lists this ribosomal RNA (467 nucleotides) under uncultured bacterium. RNAcentral describes it as "partial 16S ribosomal RNA". It matches the Rfam family "Bacterial small subunit ribosomal RNA", at positions 28 to 506 of the family's 1533-position model. The record is from RNAcentral.